Molecule: ribosomal RNA, 401 nt
Filed under: uncultured Alphaproteobacteria bacterium
Lineage: Bacteria; Pseudomonadati; Pseudomonadota; Alphaproteobacteria
Description: bacterial SSU rRNA
Rfam family: Bacterial small subunit ribosomal RNA
Source: RNAcentral
GAGUUUGAUCCUGGCUCAGAACGAACGCUGGCGGCAUGCCUAACACAUGCAAGUCGAACGGGAUCCAUCCUUCGGGAUGGUGAGAGUGGCGGACGGGUGAGUAACGCGUGGGAACCUGCCCAGUGGUGGGGGAUAACUGCGGGAAACUGCAGCUAAUACCGCAUGAGCCCGAAAGGGGAAAGAUUGAUCGCCAUUGGAGGGGCCCGCGUUCGAUUAGGUAGUUGGUGGGGUAAUGGCCUACCAAGCCUGCGAUCGAUAGCUGGUCUGAGAGGAUGAUCAGCCACACUGGGACUGAGAUACGGCCCAGACUCCUACGGGAGGCAGCAGUGGGGAAUAUUGGACAAUGGGGGCAACCCUGAUCCAGCAAUGCCGCGUGAGUGAUGAAGGCCUUCGGUUGUAAG